AGGUUUCAAUUGUAAAUAGAGAGAUAUUUAAAAAGAUGGCACCCCUCUCGAAAGAAGAAGAGAAUUAUGUUCGAUUAGCUUUGUUAUUGAAAGGAGUGUCACCAAGAGCAGUCCGUACUUAUUUUGACAAAGAAUUUCCACCUACUCAUCUACCUUCAAUACUGAAUACAAACCACAACACUCUUCAUGACUUAAAAUUAAAGAGAGUUUUGAACCAGGCUCAGUGGAAUCUAUUGUUUCCAGCAAAUGGUAUGUUUAUAUGGCCACAGCAUCCCCAAAACAAAAAAUUUAAGUUGGACAAAUUUAAUAUAGAAUGUAUGUGUGAUUUACAUCUAUCUUAAGAAAAAUGAUCUUUUGUAUGAAGUUGCAUUACUAUCAGUACCUAUCAGUUUGGCGAUUAUUUAAAAGCCCUGUCUACAAGGUCAUGGUCAAGUGACUUCUAAUUAAUUAACAAUAUUCAAUGUUUCAUUUUCUGAUUAAGUUAGUUUGAUAAACUACUAACAAUAGACAACAAUAUUUGUCUCUGUACAAUUCAGUUUAAAACCAUAAAGUGGCCAUGCACACUAGAUCAUAGUCUAGCCACUUCGAAUCAAUUUAAUACUUCAUUCUAAAACUUUGAUUGUAACAUGUGUACCAUGAUUCUUAUACAUUAGAUGUUGCAAGUGUUCUUAUGAAGUAUGCGUUAAAAAUCUUACUUUUCAAAAAGAUAUAAAAAAUAUAAUUUUUGAUUAAAAAUAUAUUUCAUUAACUUCAAACUAAAUAUGAUAUCUCAUAUAGAAUACAAUAUAUAUUAUAUACUUUAUUAGCUAUCGUAUUUACUUUCUAAGAUAUCUUGAAACUGGAUGAAUAAAAAAAAACCAGCUUACGCUGUACCCGAUUUUAAUAUAAUGGAUCUUACAGGUGUAUCUGAUUCUAGUACUUUUAAUGUUUUAUGUGUUCCUGAUUCCAAUGUUACAGUUGAACCUAGUUCUUAUACUUGUGGUGUUACAGAUGAAAUUGAUUCUAAUACUUUCCACGUUGCAGAUGUAAUUAAUAAUGAUACUCUUGAUGUUAUAGGUGUACCUGAUUCCACAACUUUUGAUGUAACAUUAAUGAUUUGCUUGAUCAGAAACUUGA
RNAcentral lists this long non-coding RNA (1116 nucleotides) under Mytilus galloprovincialis (Mediterranean mussel). The record is from RNAcentral. Lineage: Eukaryota; Metazoa; Mollusca; Bivalvia; Mytilida; Mytilidae.